GCAUGAUAUUUUUAUUAAAGAAUUUCGGUUAUCGAUGGGGAUGCGUUCCAUUAGUUUGUUGGCGGGGUAACGGCCCACCAAGACUACGAUGGAUAGGGGUUCUGAGAGGAAGGUCCCCCACAUUGGAACUGAGACACGGUCCGAACUCCUACGGGAGGCAGCAGUGAGGAAUAUUGGUCAAUGGGCGAGAGCCUGAACCAGCCAAGUAGCGUGAAGGAUGAAGGCUCUAUGGGUCGUAAACUUCUUUUAUAUGGGAAUAAAGUAUUCCACGUGUGGAAUUUUGUAUGUACCAUAUGAAUAAGGAUCGGCUAACUCCGUGCCAGCAGCCGCGGUAAUACGGAGGAUCCGAGCGUUAUCCGGAUUUAUUGGGUUUAAAGGGAGCGUAGGUGGAUUGUUAAGUCAGUUGUGAAAGUUUGCGGCUCAACCGUAAAAUUGCAGUUGAAACUGGCAGUCUUGAGUACAGUAGAGGUGGGCGGAAUUCGUGGUGUAGCGGUGAAAUGCUUAGAUAUCACGAAGAACUCCGAUUGCGAAGGCAGCUCACUAGACUGUUACUGACACUGAUGCUCGAAAGUGUGGGUAUCAAACAGGAUUAGAUACCCUGGUAGUCCACACAGUAAACGAUGAAUACUCGCUGUUUGCGAUAUACAGUAAGCG
This 654-nucleotide ribosomal RNA is filed under the name uncultured bacterium. RNAcentral describes it as "bacterial SSU rRNA". It matches the Rfam family "Bacterial small subunit ribosomal RNA", at positions 171 to 845 of the family's 1533-position model. The record is from RNAcentral.